GGCUCCCCUUACAUCCUCAACUCUCACGCCUCUCUCUCUUUCUCUCGGUCUCACUCCUCUUGGCCGGCAAUGGCGUCGCCGGUGAGUGAUGUUGGACGCUAGUCACUCCCUAUCUCCCUCUCGGUUCUCUCUCUUCCUCCGUCUAAUUCUCUCUCUUUUCUUUCUACCGCCGCCCGACCUCCCUCUCUUGGCCACGACUUUCGGCUGCCGGCGUGCAGCCUUGGCAGCGUCGCCCGUCCACCGUUGCCGGUCAUCUCCUCCAAAAGGGCAGAAGCUCUAUUCGAGCAGUAGCGGUGUACGUGCAGCGUCUUUGAGAGCAGGGGGCGCGAAUGCGUGAGGGUAGCAACAACGGAGUGUAUGGCAGCCGACCGCAGCAGCGGCUCCCUUCGGUAGCUCGGUGCUCAUCGAUGCACUCUUAAAAGCUAAGCCCUCAUUUAUGCUUCAUGCCCGAUUAUGAUUAUUGCUUUUAUGGUUAUUGCAAGAUCAUGAUCUACUUGAUUUAGUUUUGAGGAUUUGAGCUUGAGCUUGCUUUUCUCUAAAUUUUCGCAUGCUUAGUUAUUGCACUAGAAAAUGCGUUGAGAUACCUAAGUUCAUGAUACUAUGUUGAGCAUGCUUGGCAAAAUGAUAGUAUGAAUAAGCUAUGAAUAAAGAUUGGUUUCAAGAGCAUUUACCUUUGAUGAAGAGUAUAGUAAAUGGGUAAUGAGUAAUGGGUGAGAGAGAGCUUCAUCCUCUUGUUCCUUUUACUAUCCUUUCCAUCUUCUGCUUGAACUCACUAGUAACUCACUAUUUGAGUCUUACUUGCUCUCUUGUUUGAUAAAAAAAUGAAUGUGUUAAAGAUUUUGUAUGGAUGAACAAAAGAAAGAUGAAUGGAGGUGUGGAGUAUUUAUAGGCAAAGAGGGUGCAUGAUUUUACAUGGAUAAUCCCAUAAUUUAUGAAAGCAAAGUGUUGUCCAAGAGUUAAUGACUUCUUACCAAAAGGGGUAAGUUGUCACACCCAUCAUUCACACUAUCAUUUUUGGAAAGAAUCUUAUAUCUCGUCAUCUAAAAUGACGGCUAACAAGUACAACCGUCAUUUGGGAAACCUGCAGCGUCGUUGGGAAACGUGCUUGUGAUGCGAAUUAUGUCAAACAUCUUGUCUUGAUUUGAAUGAUGUGAUGGUAAUGUGACUAAUAUUUAUCUAUCUUUUGUAGGUUCUGGAAGUGUGAGAUGUUGCAAUCGAUAUAAGCACGAAACGAAGGUAGAGAUGAGGCGAGCUCGGCGCCCGGCUCGAUGUCGGCACCGACCAUCGGCUCGACGCCUUUACGGCUGUCCGGUCCGGGAUGUGCACACCUGCCGAGACUUGGGGCACGUCUCCUCUUUUUGUUGUAUUCUCGAUAUUCAAAUUGUAAUAGCGUAGGGCUUUUAAAAAAAAUCUUUUUGAACUUGUGUUAAAAGAACUCAUAGAUUUUUAUACCGUAUUUAGUAAAACUUUUAAACGUCUUUGAGCA
Long non-coding RNA from Salvia hispanica, 1486 nucleotides. RefSeq lists it as uncharacterized. The record is from RefSeq and is a predicted model, not a curated record. NCBI's taxonomy places the organism in Eukaryota, Viridiplantae, Streptophyta, Magnoliopsida, Lamiales, Lamiaceae.